GUUCCAGACUCCUACGGGAGGCAGCAGUGGGGGAUAUUGCACAAUGGGGGGAACCCUGAUGCAGCGACGCCGCGUGGGUGAGGAAGUACCCCGGUAUGUAAAGCCCUUUCGGCAGGGAAGAAAAUGACGGUACCUGGCGAAGAAGCCCCGGCUAACUACGUGCCAGCAGCCGCGGUAAUACGUAGGGGGCAAGCGUUAUCCGGAUUCACUGGGUGUAAAGGGAGCGUAGACGGCCAUGCAAGCCUGGAGUGAAAGCCCGGGGCCCAACCCCGGGACUGCUCUGGGAACUGUGCGGCUGGAGUGCGGGAGGGGCAGGCGGAAUUCCUGGUGUAGCGGUGAAAUGCGUAGAUAUCAGGAGGAACACCGGCGGCGAAGGCGGCCUGCUGGACCGCGACUGACGUUGAGGCUCGAAAGCGUGGGGAGCAAACAGGAUUAGAUACCCUCGUA
RNAcentral lists this ribosomal RNA (447 nucleotides) under uncultured bacterium. RNAcentral's name for it is "bacterial SSU rRNA". It matches the Rfam family "Bacterial small subunit ribosomal RNA", at positions 328 to 792 of the family's 1533-position model. The record is from RNAcentral.